Molecule: ribosomal RNA, 483 nt
Filed under: uncultured bacterium
Lineage: Bacteria
Description: partial 16S ribosomal RNA
Rfam family: Bacterial small subunit ribosomal RNA
Source: RNAcentral
GAUGAACGCUGGCGGCGUGCCUAACACAUGCAAGUCGAACGAAGCUUGACGGAUGAUUUCUUCGGAAUGAAACCAGAUAUGACUUAGUGGCGGACGGGUGAGUAACACGUGAGCAACCUGCCUUUCAGAGGGGGAUAACGGCUGGAAACGGUCGCUAAUACCGCAUGAUGUGUUCGGAUGGCAUCAUCUGAACAUCAAAGAUUUAUCGCUGAAAGAUGGGCUCGCGUCUGGUUAGAUAGUUGGUGGGGUAACGGCCUACCAAGUCUACGAUCAGUAGCCGGACUGAGAGGUUGAACGGCCACAUUGGGACUGAGAUACGGCCCAGACUCCUACGGGAGGCGGCAGUGGGGAAUAUUGCACAAUGGGGGAAACCCUGAUGCAGCAACGCCGCGUGAAGGAUGACGGUUUUCGGAUUGUAAACUUCUUUUCUUAGUGACGAAGACAGUGACGGUAGCUAAGGAAUAAGCAUCGGCUAACUACGUG